Long non-coding RNA from Dermochelys coriacea (leatherback sea turtle), 2204 nucleotides. RefSeq lists it as uncharacterized. The transcript has 4 exons. The record is from RefSeq and is a predicted model, not a curated record. NCBI's taxonomy places the organism in Eukaryota, Metazoa, Chordata, Testudines, Dermochelyidae.
UGUGAAGGAAUUGACCAGGGUCGGGGCAGUGCCACCCUGAUAUGGCCAGGGGAGGAGCUAAGGCCACAAGAUGAGAACACCACCCCUCUGGGUACUGCUAGGCAAAGUUCUCCAGCUCCAGUGAACUGGGCGCGUGUGCACCUACAUGGAAUACAUGUCUGCAUCACAUCUCAAAGAACAACUGUUACAGUAAGUAACCGCGUUUUAGUUCUCCUAGAUGGACUUCUGAACCUGUGCUGACCCCACCAACUUGAAAGAUUGAGGCCUCAGUUAGCCCUUUUUGGAUAUUCUUGAAAAUGUUCUGCUGUGCUUCCUUGCUAUAAAACUUGGUUUUCACACACAAGAUAUUUCAGGGGAAAUUCUGGUAAGUGAUCGUCAGGAAAUAAAAUCAGGCAUCCAGAACUGACUGAUCACUGUAGAGACUCUAUCAGACAUAGUUCCAAGGCAAACUCAUUGCCAUCAACAGUUUGCUAGUUCAGAUUAGUUAUCUUGUUAUAUCAUAAACCUGCAAGUUUGUACACACAGCAUUUCAGUUAACUCUGGCAUCUUUCUUGUACCUAAUUUACUGGGCCAACCCCCUCAGCAAACUAAAGCUUCUUUGGGUGGCAAUCUCCUAACAUCAAGUAUUACUGAGACCUCCUUCUUUGUUCUGAACUUCCGCUUGUUUCUCUUCAUAAAAUUCAAUCCCAGCAUCUCCAGUGAAGGUUUGAAUAGGGGUCUUAUGUCUACAAUGAGGUGUUUCCUGUGUCAUCUGAGCUGCACAUCCGAAUGUUUUCUGUAAAGGAGGAAGAUUUUACAAAUGGAAUGGAUAAAGCAAGACAAAAAGUUUCAAUCAAAGCAAAAGUGCUGCGGUUGCAGAAGGAUCUCAGCAAGGCAGCAGAGAAAAAGAAGGUUCUUGUCUGUUGCUAUUGCACUGAAUGUCUUAAUGGGUUGUAUUAAAUUAUGGGCCCCGUCACAGUGCCUCAUGUAAGGGGAAUUGCAAGUGGUAAAUGAGAAUCCUCUAUGCACACCUGGGGAGUAACACAGAGAGAGUGUCAUUUUUUAAUUCCAAAAGGUAGAUAGUGAGCAAGUGAAAGUGAACAAAAACACAGGACAACAACAGACGGUCACUGCAAUCUUAACUUUGGAGCCACUAGUUUAUAUUAGGUACCAAAAAAAAUCCCUUUAAAAGUUUCAUGCCGUUAUUGCGCCCCCCCCCGAUCUUGGGGCUGUCUGGGGUUGAAUUGGUUCCAGCACAAAUUAAAGUAACCACAGGUCUGCUCUAAAGUUGCAGCCAGCUGCCAUGGCCCCAAAUGCCCUUUUGGGCAGCCAGGGAUCACUGGAGCACACCAGUAUUCCAGCCAUCUCCCCUUUCCAUUGGGAACAUUCUACACAUUGAAUGCUGCCUGGACACCCUGACCAAACUUACCAAGCUCAGCCCAGGCUGGUCCUAUCAACAGCCCCAGUUCUGGGAACAAUAGCACGUAGCUACAUUUGAGACCAUUUACAAAAGGACAACAAAAAUAGCAAAUGGCUAGACAGACUGACUUGAAAGAAAAGAUCAAAAGUUAAAGUGUAUAAAGCAUGGCUAAAGGAUUAUUGGGGUUGGUAGAGAAUAAGUCUACGAGUAUCAGAAAAAUUUACAUAUGAAGGAGGGAGAAAAUAUUGAGAGUGGAACACAAUGGCAUAUAAAUGGGAGUAAUAGGAUGAGAUUAAGGAAUGGGAAAUUUUAGGGUGAAUAUGACAGUAACAGGGUAAAGUAUUAGCCAAUGUGGAUUAGAUGACCCAAGAAGUCCUUCACAUGCCUGUCAGUUUCUUUGAUACUUUUCAGGUCUGGAGCAGAUGCUUAAAACAUACACAGAGACCCCACAAUUUUCAGAUGUAAAGAACCAGAAAGACAUGGCUGUGCUCCUGGAAUAGACAAGUCUAAAAACAAGCCUUUUGCAAGCAAACAUCUGCAAACUAUCCACAAUACUUGCAGAACUAGAGCAGAAGCAGAAGCCCACACAUCCCUGGAGCGACUGUGUCUCCAACUGGAAAGAGAAGGACUGUGUACAUAGUUCUGUCCUCAUCUCUUGCUGUGUUAAAAUGAAACUAUUUGAGCGCACCUUUAGCAGAGGGGCUGCCAGUGGGCCGGUGAAUAACUUAAGAUUUCUGCCAGCUGAAAUGCUAGUUUGAGGACUGAGACUGAGUGCAAUGGAGAAUAGGGUCAUGUUAUAAUGCUG